ACAGAGGGUGCAAGCGUUAAUCGGAAUUACUGGGCGUAAAGCGUGCGUAGACGGUUGUCUAUGUCGGAUGUGAAAUCCCCGGGCUCAACCUGGGAAUGGCAUUCGAGACUGAACAGCUAGGGUGCGGAGGAGGGAAGCGGAAUUUCCGGUGUAGCGGUGAAGUGCGUAGAUAUCGGAAGGAACAUCAGUGGCGAAGGCGGCUUCCUGGUCCAGCACCGACGUUCAGGCACGAAAGCGUGGGGAGCAAACAGGAUUAGAUACCCUGGUAGUCCACGCCUUAAACGAUGAGGACUAGACGUUGGAAGGGUUAGCCUUUCAGUGUCGCAGCUAACGCGAUAAGUCCUCCGCCUGGGGAGUACGGCCGCAAGGUUG
This 372-nucleotide ribosomal RNA is filed under the name uncultured bacterium. RNAcentral's name for it is "bacterial SSU rRNA". It matches the Rfam family "Bacterial small subunit ribosomal RNA", at positions 525 to 896 of the family's 1533-position model. The record is from RNAcentral.